GGACACUAGGGAAAUCUCUCAGUGAUAUCUACUAUCCUACACCAUUGAUUAUCAGGAUUGAUUCACCACCUGAUAUGGCUCACGAAGCUGGUGUUCUCUUCAUCCCUCACUGUCUCAUAGAUGUCCCUCCUAAAGAUUCAGACUGGGUCAAAGAGUAAAACUUUCCCAGACAGAAGCUGACCUUAGUCAAGAUGAAUAGCCGAGGUCUACUAGAACCUCCUAACAAAAUCUCAAAUAAGUUAAGGCAACAAAAGAAAUUCAUUUUUAGCCUUUAGUAGUAUGGUAGGAUGAGAAUGGUGAUUCAUAUCUA
Molecule: small RNA, 310 nt
Filed under: Microtus ochrogaster (prairie vole)
Lineage: Eukaryota; Metazoa; Chordata; Mammalia; Rodentia; Cricetidae
Description: 7SK RNA (ENSMOCG00000005676.1)
Source: RNAcentral